UUGUAAGAAUCUUGUGUGUCUUCCUAGCACUAUUUGUAAUUUGAAUUCACUUGAAGUGCUCGAUCUUUGUGGGUGCUCAAAUUUUGAUAACUUGCCGGAGAACCUUGGGAAUCUCAAAGGUCUUAAUCGUCUUGAUUUGAGGGGAACAUCUAUAAAAGAGCUGCCUUCAUCGAUUGAUGGUUUGACAACCCUUACUUCAUUGACUCUUAGUGAUUGUAAGAAUCUUGUGUGUCUUCCUAGCACCAUUUGUAGUUUGAAUUCACUUGAAGUGCUCGCUCUUCGUGGGUGCUCAAAUUUUGACAACUUGCCGGAGAACCUAGGGAAUCUCAAAGGUCUCAAGGUGCUUGAUUUGAGUGGAACAGCUAUAAAUGAGCUGCCUUCAUCAAUUGAUGGUUUGACAACCCUUACUUCAUUGAUUCUUAGCGAUUGUAAGAAUCUUGUGUGUCUUCCUAGCACCAUUUGUAAUUUGAAUUCACUUGAAGUGCUCGAUCUUUGUGGGUGCUCAAAUUUUGAUAACUUGCCGGAGAACCUAAGGAAUCUCAAAGGUCUCAAGAACCUUCGCUUGAGUGGAACAACUAUAAAUGAGCUGCCUUCAUCAAUUGAUGGUUUGACAACCCUUACUUCAUUGACUCUUAACGAUUGUAAGAAUCUUGUGUCUUCCUAGCACCAUUUGUAGUUUGAAUUCACUUGUAUGGCUUGUUCUUCGUGGGUGCUCAAAUUUUGACAACUUGCCAGAGAACUUGGGGAAUCUCAAAGGUCUCAAGGAGCUUUAUUUGAGUGGAACAGCUAUAUAGGAGUUGCCUUCAUCAAUUGAUGGUUUGACAACUCUAAGAUGUUGCAGAAAUCUUGUGUGCCUACCUAGCACCAUUUGUAAUUUGAAGUUGCUUAAUUCUCUUGAUCUUUUUGGAUGCUUAAAAUUUGACAACUUGCCAGAGAACAUUGGAAAUAUGGAAGGUUAGGAGCUACUUAAUUUGUGUUGGACAGCCAUAUAAGAGGUUCCUUCUUCCAUUGUUUUCCUUAAAAAUCUCAAACAGCUUCAUAUCUGUGGAUGGAAGUUAUCUGAAUUUUAUUCCCAGCCAGCAAGUCCUAUGUCGAUAGAACCUUUAUGGAUUUCAUUAUCUUACUUGCCAACAAGUCCUACCACGGAAAGAAUAUUUUUGCCUUCAUUUAUAUAUUAUUCCCUGCAAACAAGUCCGGUUCUGGUGGGCUUAUCAUUGCCUUCCUUGUCAGGUCUACAAUCUUUUACAGAUUUGAAUCUUAGUCACCGCGAUCUUUGGUCAAUCCCCAAUGACAUUGGCUGCUUGUCCUCUUUAGAAUACUUAGAUCUAAGUGGAAAUAAUUUUGUUUCCCUUCCUGAAAGCAUGUCUCAACUCUCUAAAUCUUGGAAGACUCUGUUUGGAGGGUUGCGAAAGUCUUCAAUCAUUGGAAAAUGUUCCGCCAACUAUUGAUUCUAUAAUUGCAGACGAUUGUACCUCACUGGAGAGAUUGCCAGAACUGCAGUUUUAUCUUUCUAGGUCAGAUCGCACCUACUUGCAAUUCCUGUUUUUCAACUGCUUCAAAUUGGUUGACAAUAGCAUGCUUCAGGGCAUUAAUUACAUGCUUCAGGUCAUGAAUUGAAAGUACAAGUGCCUUCUAAUUUGUCUAAUGCAUCAAUUGGAAUUGCAUUUUGUGUUGUUUUUGUUCCCAACAAGUGGCGUGAAUGCCCUUGUGAUUGGGAGCUUUCAUUUAGAAUCGAUGGAUUUCCAUUGAAUGAGGGAGAAAUUUCUGGUUCUAGGAAAGAAUAUGGUACAAUUGAAUCACAUCACCUUUGGCUGACCUAUUAUUCCUAUUGGAAUGGAUUUCAUCCUCUUAAGAUUAGAGCAUCUUCUCGGAACUUGGAGGUGGAGAAAAUUGGGGUCCGAUUCAUAUACCGGCAAGACAUCAAAAAUCCCAGUAAAACUAUGGCACAGUGCAUCAACAACAGCAGCAUCAUAAUCCAUCAUGAUAUUGCUGAUUCAAUUGCAGAUGGUAGCGGAAAUAAGCGAAGCCAUGAUGAGGAUGAUGGGGCAGGAUCUAGUGGAGAAUGCUACCCUAUUGUGGAACCACCGCCAAAGAGGAUUCAACGGCUUGGAGGAUUUAUGGAGGAUUCUGAGGAUCCUAGUCAAAGGGAAUUUUCCAAUUUCUUUGCGAUGGAUGCAGAGGAUCAAAUGUCCAUGAAGCUUGAAGCCAUUCACGAAUGUAGUAGUUACCAAGACAUCGAAGAUAUCAAUCAAACCCUGGCACAGAACAGCAACAACAGCAGCACGCUUUAUGAGGGUCUGGGUGAAUCUAUUGUGAUAUUGAACGAUUCAGCCGCCGAAGGUAGAAUGUCUGAUUUGGAAGAAUCUAGUGGAAAAGGCCACUUUAAUGAAGGACCAGAUCCAAAGACUUGGAGUAUUUAUGUCUGAUUCGGAAGAAUCUAGUAAAAGGGAAUUCUUCGCCUGUUGAAUAAUACAAAUUUUUCUUGUUGUCUUGUUGGGGCACUUUUAUAUAAUGGAAGGAAGGGAUCAAACGUCCAAGAAGCUUGAAGCCUAUUGCGGCGGUAAGAGGGAUAGUUAGCAGAGCCACGUUGAAGAAUUAGCCAAGUAGGAUCUCUCCUUUCACUCAAAAUGAUUCCUAGUGAAAAAGCGCUCAAGGAACAAGUGUGCUCUACAUUCCAAGAUCUUCCUGCACAGUACACAUUUUAGAUCACUGGUUGGUGGAAUCUUCUGGUGGUGGAGGGAAAUGUCUCUCUAGGUCUUCUCUUCUAGAAACAUCCAAGAACAGCAAAUUCUUUACAUAAGAAAUAUCACGGCCUGGAAGUAACUCGUUGAAUGUCAAUGGGCACACACUCAUCCCAAUUCUAAGGAUCAAAAGUGGCAUUUCAAUAAGAACAACCUUGUUUGUAAAUGUAGAAAUACCUGCAAGUUUAAAUUACAACAAUAACAACCAGAAGAACACAAAGUUGCAGAGCUCAGAAAUAUACCAAGGCAUCUACUGCAGCAUGCUCUCUAAGGAUCAUGAUCCUGACGAUUCAGCCUCAGAAGGUAGCAGAACUAAGCGAAGGCAUGAUGAGGAUGAUGGGGCUGGACACCUAGUGGAGAAGGCUACUCUAAUGAGGAACCACAGCCAAAAUGAAUUUAUAAAGUCGGAGAAUUUAUUGCUGAUUCUGAGGAUUCUAGUCAAAGGGAAAUUUUCGACUUCGUUGCCAUACGAGGAUAGUAUGAAAUGUCCUAGACGCUUGAAUCCAUUCACGGAGGGAAGAGGGAUAGUUACCAAGACAUUGAAGAUCUCAAUUAAACUAUGGCACAGUUAAGCAUCAACAACAGAACACUCUGAGGAUCUGGGUGAUCUCCGCCAUGAUCUUUGUGAUUCAACCGUAGAAGGUAGCAGAAAUAAGUGAAGCCGUGAUGAGGAUGGCGGGACUGGACCAAGUGGAGAAGGCUACUCUAGAGACGAACCCCAUCCAAAGACUUGGAGGAUGUAUGGCUGAUUCUAAAGAAUUUAGUACAAGGAAUGUUUCGACUUCUUUUCCUGAGAGGAUCCAAGAAACUUGAAGCCUAUCGCAGUGGUAAGAGGGAAAGUCACAAGAGGGACGUUGAAAAAUUAGCUCAAACCCACCUUGGCACUCACUAGACCGGUCAAGAGUUAACUGAGGGUUCCUUUUUAAUGUGAUACAAUGAAGAUUGAGGAAGCAAAGAGCACAUUCUCCUAAGGAAAUUGAUCUCCUCCGCUAUUAUUGACCCGUUGCAAGUUGAGAGCACAAUUCAACUCUCCAUCAACAAUGAAGCAAAAGUAGUGUAUUCCUAAUGGAAGCAUCAUAGUAACAGAAGCAAUU
Quercus lobata is the source of this 3835-nucleotide RNA transcript. RefSeq lists it as uncharacterized. The transcript has 10 exons. NCBI's taxonomy places the organism in Eukaryota, Viridiplantae, Streptophyta, Magnoliopsida, Fagales, Fagaceae. The record is from RefSeq and is a predicted model, not a curated record.